CUACGGGUGGCUGCAGUGAGGAAUAUUGCACAAUGGGGGGAACCCUGAUGCAGCAACGCCGCGUGGAGGAUGACGCAUUUCGGUGUGUAAACUCCUUUUAUAUGUCAAGAAAAUGACGGUAGCAUAUGAAUAAGCACCGGCUAACUCCGUGCCAGCAGCCGCGGUAAUGCGGAGGGUGCAAGCGUUACUCGGAAUCACUGGGCGUAAAGGACGCGUAGGCUGGUUGGUAAGUCAGGUGUGAAAUCCUACAGCUUAACUGUAGAACUGCACUUGAAACUACCAACCUAGAGUAUGGGAGGGGGAGAUGGAAUUAGUGGUGUAGGGGUAAAAUCCGUAGAUAUCACUAGGAAUACCGAAAGCGAAGGCGAUCUCCUGGAACAUAACUGACGCUAAGGCGUGAAAGCGUGGGGAGCAAACAGGAUUAGAUACCCGCGUAGUC
This 439-nucleotide ribosomal RNA is filed under the name uncultured bacterium. Its description in RNAcentral is "partial 16S ribosomal RNA". It matches the Rfam family "Bacterial small subunit ribosomal RNA", at positions 339 to 795 of the family's 1533-position model. The record is from RNAcentral.